This 1557-nucleotide ribosomal RNA is filed under the name Lucasium damaeum (beaded gecko). RNAcentral's name for it is "16S rRNA". It matches the Rfam family "Bacterial large subunit ribosomal RNA", at positions 435 to 2925 of the family's 2925-position model. Lineage: Eukaryota; Metazoa; Chordata; Lepidosauria; Squamata; Diplodactylidae. The record is from RNAcentral.
AGCAAGAACUCUAGCCCCACCUUUUCCUACUAGCAACCAAAACAGACCAAACCAAAUCAUUUAUUCCGCCUAGUAUAUGAGAUAAAAAAACACCAACGAAGCACUAGAAUCAGUACCGCAAGGGAAAGAUGAAAGAACAUGAAAUAUCAAAGCAACAAAAAGCAGUGACAAACCCACGUACCUCUCGCAUCAUGAUUUAACAAGAAAUCUUCAGGUAAAAAGAACUAAAACCUGACACCCCGAAACCAGACGAGCUACCUUGAAGCAAUUUUUAAGAAUCAACUCACCUCUGUGACAAAAAAGGGAGAAGACCUCAAGGUAGAGGCGAAACACCAAACGAGCCUGGUAAUAGCUGGUUGCUCCACAAAUGAAUUUUAGUUCAACUCUAGGACCUAAAAAUCCCCACAUAGACUCCCCCCUAGAAGAUAUUCAAUGAGGGUACAGCUUCAUUGAAACAGGAAACAACCUUAAUUAGAGGGUAAACCACAUCACACCUUACCAGUAGGCCCCUAACCAGCCACCAAAAACAACCGCGUCAAAGCGUACUAACACCCUAUAUAAUUCAAACCAAAACUUCAACCCCCUAACUCCUAAUGGAGCUACCCUAUUAACCUAAUAGGGGAACUAAUGCUAAAACUAGUAAUAAGAAAUAUUCUCUACGCAUCCCUCUCAAUCAGAAAUAGAUAAACUACUGAAAAUUAACAAACCCUUACAAAGAACACUAAACCAUUACCCAAGCCAUAUUACUAAAUCUCUGUAACCCCAACCCAGGAAUGCCUAAAAGAAAGAUAAAAAGCCUAACAAGGAAUUCAGCUAAUAGAUCCCAACUGUUUACCAAAAACAUAGCCUUUAGCACAACAAGUAUUAAAGGUCUCGCCUGCCCAGUGAACUUUUUCAACGGCCGCGGUAUCCUAACCGUGCAAAGGUAGCGUAAUCACUUGUCCUCUAAAUAAGGACUUGUAUGAACGGCUAACUGAGGUUCUAACUGUCUCAUUAAGCCUAUCAAUGAAACUGAUCUUUCAGUACAAAAGCUGAAAUAAAAACAUAAGACGAGAAGACCCUGUGGAGCUUCAAACCGACACUAUAACCAAACCUCUAACCCCGAUAGGCACACCAAAUAUUAAUAGAAUAGGUUUUUAGUUGGGGCGACUUUGGAACUAAACCAAACUUCCAUGCCAGGGGCAACCCCCUAUCAAGGCAAACCUGCCAAAAUAUCCCUUUUUGACCCAGUCCAACUGAGCAACGAACCAAGUUACCCCAGGGAUAACAGCGCUAUCCCCUUCAAGAGUCCCUAUCGACAAGGGGGUUUACGACCUCGAUGUUGGAUCAGGACACCCCGGUGGUGCAACCGCUACCAAAGGUUCGUUUGUUCAACGAUUAACAGUCCUACGUGAUCUGAGUUCAGACCGGAGCAAUCCAGGUCGGUUUCUAUCUAUGCUUUUCUUCUUUAGUACGAAAGGACCAAGAAGACAAUACCAAUAGGGCCCCUACGUAUUGACUUUAAAGUUGACAACCACUCAAACCACUUCAACCCAAAACCAACCCAAAAACAGGGUU